UGCAAUAGCUGCAAUACAUUCCUUAACACUUACCUCACUCAGUUUAAGAAACUCUUGCAGGUAUAUUUUUUUAUGCUCUUCCAUUUCUUUCAGCUCUUCUUUUCCAUGGUGAAUGGGCCCAAUGGAGACUAGUUGAGGCGUGUAGGCAUAUUCCUUCGAGUCGCGUAGUCUUUUCGGGAGAAGGCAUGCAAGGCAUUCACUUAUCAGAGAAGGCAUGCAAGGUUUUCAACUCCCCUUCCACAGACGCUGUUAAUUUGUCAAUGUCAAGCGAAACAUGAUCAUUGCUUUUCAUCUGCUCAGUUGAUGUUCCGACUUUCUCCAUCCUGUGACGCAAAUCUCAAUUGAUCAAUCAUUGAAAUGAUCUCUACAGUCAAGAUUACCAAGUCAUUUAAUUGAUACGGAUGCUUUAACAAAUUCCAACACAAAUGUAAAGAGGAAAUGAAAAUAUCACACAAAAUAUUAUCAAACAUUCACAAAAAUAUUUGGAAGGAAUCGAAUCUGAAUUAUUACAACAUACGUGGCUUCUCUAAAUUACAACUUGCAUACUUAGAUUUGCUUCAAAACAUAUAUAGAAAAAGCACUCACCGGCCUUCUGGCAGAAACAAAAAACUCACUCAGUAGCUCUAGGUUUUUUCACAAACUAUGGUCUGAAGUGUUUCUGAUCAGAAUCUUCUUGAAUAUUCUGUUCCUGCAUUUCUCCAUCAGUUCUUAUUCUACACAAAGUCUUAUACAAGAGUUACGAUCAUGUUGUCACCCCUUGAAGGGCGAGUCCAUCAUAGACUUCAUGUUCAUACAUUUGUCAUGCAGGCACCAGAAUAAAAAGUAGGUCCCCUCCGAGUCUACAACACCUGAUUUUGAGAGAAAAACAUUGGAGAUAAAGAGCGCGCUCACCGCAACAUUCAUUUUCAAGAAGAGUUGGAGUCUCUGAACAAAAGCUUGACUCACCUCUAGCUUACUCGAGCAAAUAUUGAAAAAUAUCUCUAGGGAAAUUCCUUCCAAUUGACCUAUCAUUUUGUUCAAAGCCCCAACAAAGACUCAACCCGAAGAAAUUGGGGGCCCACAUGAUCAAGAGCCUCAACACAAUUUGAAGGGGAAUUGCAUCACCGUUGCAGAAUGGAGCCUGUUCUUGCUCUGCCAAAAUAACUAUUUUAAAUUCCUUCCAAUUGCGGGAUUUUCCGACGUGCGACAAUUACAACCAUUUUAAAUUCCUUGAGCUAUUAUCAAUUCGAAGUUUACAACCAUUUUAAAUUCCCUGUUAUCAAUUCGAAGUUUGUUUCUUUCACAGAAUAAGUCUUCCAUAGUUCCAUUAUCAUCAAUCGUCAAUAAGUCACAGAAUCACGAUAAUUCAAAAUCAUCUAUCUACACAGUCUUGAGAAUCACGAUGGGAACUGAUCAAAAUGAUUCAAUUGAUAAAUGGGAAAAUGAUAAUUCACGAAAUCACAUAAUCACAUUACAUUCAACUGCAUCUUCUUGCAGCAAAUUACAUUCAGUAGAAUCACAGGUUCCAUGGGAACUGAUCACAAAAUACAUUCAGCAGAACUAAUCACCGAUUCCAAGACUACCAAAGCAAACAAGAUCAACAGGGCAUUCGGUUCCAAGACUAAUCAGUAAUCACCGAUUCACAGCAAACCUAGAUAAUUUUUUGUCUCUAAUCACUGAUUCACCACCAUUAGAUAGAAAAAAACAAAGCUUGGGUUCCUCAUUCGUACCUUCAUCUCGCUCUGGAGUGUGAGACAGAGAGGGGAUGAUUGGACGAAGUUGCGACUUUGGAGUCAGGGAGGGUGUGACCGUGUGAGACAGGGACGAUGAAGUCACUGACAAAGCCGCGAGACAGGGACGAAGACGAAGGGGACGGACGAAGACGAAGUCGAGAGACAGGGACGAAGACGAAAAAGACGAGGUCGGCUGCUCGGGCACUCGGGUGGGAUUUGCGAAUUUGGGAAAGAAAAGAGAUUGUGGUUUACUGCCACCGUGGCUUGUUUCAUAAUUUUCAUUUCUAAUUUUCGGCCUUCGCAGGAACUUUUGAUAAACUCGGUAAAACGUAACGUUUUUAACGUUUUUUACGAGUCAACCGGUUUUUCUACGAGUUUGACCGAGUCAACCUGAUUUUGCUAAUUUUUGAGUUUUAACCCCGAUUCUACACGUUUUCUGUAUUUUAACUCGUAAAAUCGGAUGAUUUUACGAGUUAAAACGCAUUUUUAACAACCAUGGUUGUCUCCCUCUCUGCAAUAGCUGCAAUACAUUACCUCCCUUACUUCAAGAAACUCUUGCAGGUAUAUUUUUUUAUGCUCUUCCAUUUCUUUCAGCUCUUCUUUUCGAUGGUGAAUGGGCCCAAUGGAGACUAUUUGAGGUGUGUAGGCAUGAUCCUUCGAGUCACGUAGUCUUUUAGGAACUCUGUAGAUGGAACACUUAUUGGAGAAGGGACGCAAGGUUUUCAACUCCUCUUCCACAGACUCUGCUAAUUUGUCAAUGUCAAGCGAAACAUGAUCAUUCCUCUUCAUCCAACAAUAUAAUUCAGCUUAUAUUUUCCAUCCCUGGAUUUGUAAUAGGUGAUAAAGCAUGUUGAAUGACAUAACCGACAUGAUUGAUCCAUCAUCCAUGUAAUCAAAGCUAUAUAAUUCAGCUUAUAUUUUCCAUCCCUGGAUUUGUCUUUUCUUCCCAAAUCUUAAAGCUAAUGAAGAUUUAUAUGGUGAUUAAUUUUAGAAUUUAUAAAAUUAAUUGAGGAAUACAUAAGAUAAUAAAACUAAAUAAUUAAUAAUAUUAAUAAUAUUAAUCAUAAUCUAGAAAUUCACGUUAAUAAUAAUAAUAAUUUUAAUUUUUGUCCCUCUUAACAAAUUAUCCUUGUUUUGGCUUCCUUGCAAAUUAAUCCGGGCUCUCCCCCUGUUUAGGUAAUAAUAAUAAUAAAAAAGCUAAAUAAUUCUGCAUGUUGCGUC
Molecule: long non-coding RNA, 2933 nt
Filed under: Populus tremula
Lineage: Eukaryota; Viridiplantae; Streptophyta; Magnoliopsida; Malpighiales; Salicaceae
Description: long non-coding RNA (PTRE_LNC000016)
Source: RNAcentral